Molecule: ribosomal RNA, 246 nt
Filed under: uncultured Streptococcus sp.
Lineage: Bacteria; Bacillati; Bacillota; Bacilli; Lactobacillales; Streptococcaceae
Description: partial 16S ribosomal RNA
Rfam family: Bacterial small subunit ribosomal RNA
Source: RNAcentral
CGACGUAGGUAACCUACCUAUUAGAGGGGAUAACUAUUGGAAACGAUAGCUAAUACCGCAUAACAGUAUGUAACACAUGUUAGAUGCUUGAAAGAUGCAAUUGCAUCGCUAGUAGAUGGACCUGCGUUGUAUUAGCUAGUAGGUAGGGUAAUGGCCUACCUAGGCAACGAUACAUAGCCGACCUGAGAGGGUGAUCGGCCACACUGGGACUGAGACACGGCCCAGACUCCUACGGGAGGAGCAGAG